UGCCAGACUCCUACGGGAGGCAGCAGUGGGGAAUAUUGCACAAUGGGGGAAACCCUGAUGCAGCGACGCCGCGUGAGUGAAGAAGUCUUUCGGUAUGUAAAGCUCUAUCAGCAGGGAAGAAGAAGGACGGUACCUGAGUAAGAAGCCCCGGCUAACUACGUGCCAGCAGCCGCGGUAAUACGUAGGGGGCAAGCGUUAUCCGGAUUUACUGGGUGUAAAGGGAGCGUAGACGGCGAAGAAAGUCUGAAGUGAAAGCCCGCGGCUCAACCGCGGAAUGGCUUUGGAAACUUUUUUGCUGGAGUACCGGAGAGGUAAGCGGAAUUCCUAGUGUAGCGGUGAAAUGCGUAGAUAUUAGGAGGAACACCAGUGGCGAAGGCGGCUUACUGGACGGUAACUGACGUUGAGGCUCGAAAGCGUGGGGAGCAAACAGGAUUAGAUACCCCCGUACUG
Molecule: ribosomal RNA, 450 nt
Filed under: uncultured bacterium
Lineage: Bacteria
Description: bacterial SSU rRNA
Rfam family: Bacterial small subunit ribosomal RNA
Source: RNAcentral